This 1459-nucleotide ribosomal RNA is filed under the name uncultured Bordetella sp. RNAcentral's name for it is "partial 16S-23S ribosomal RNA intergenic spacer". It matches the Rfam family "Bacterial small subunit ribosomal RNA". The record is from RNAcentral. Lineage: Bacteria; Pseudomonadati; Pseudomonadota; Betaproteobacteria; Burkholderiales; Alcaligenaceae.
GGUUCGAUCAUGGCUCAGAUUGAACGCUGGCAGGAUGCUUUACAUAAGUCGAACUGGCAGCACGGACUUCGGUCUGGUGGCGAGUGGCGACGGUGAUAAUGUAUCGGAACGUGCUGGUACGCGAGGGAUAACUGCGCUGACGUAGCUAAUACCGCAUACGCCCUUCGGGGAAAAGCGGGGGACCUUCGGCCCUCACUAUUAGAGCGGCCGAUAUCGGAUUGGCUAGUUCGGUGGGGUAACGGCUCGCAAGGCGACGAUCCGUAGCUGGUUUGAGAGGACGACCAGCCACACUGGGACUGAGACGGCCCAGACUCCUACAGGGAGGCAGCGGUGGGGAAUUUUGGACAAUGGGGAAAGCCUGAUCAGCCAUCCCGCGUGUGCGUGAAGGCCUUCGGGUUGUAAAGCACUUUUGGCAGGAAAGAAACGGCGCGGGAUAAUACCCCAUUGCAACUGACUGACACCUGCCAGAAUAAGCACCGGCUAACUACGUGCAGCAGCCGCGGUAAUACGUAAGGAGGUGCAAGCGUUAAUCGGAAUUACUGGGCGUAAAGCGUGCCGAACAGGUUCGGAAAAGAAAGAUGUGAAAUCCAGAGCUUAACUUUGAACUGCAUUUUAACUACCGAGCUAGAAGUGUCAGAGGGAGGUGGAAUUCCGCGUGUAGCAGUGAAAUGCGUAGAUAUGCGGAGGAACACCGAUGGCGAGCAGCCUCCUGGGAUAACACUGACGCUCAUGCACGAAGAAAGCGUGGGAGCAAACAGGAUUAGAUACCUGGUAGUCCACGCCCUAAACGGUAUCAGCAGCUGUUGGGCCCGGGCCUUGGUAACAGCUAACGCGUGAAGUUGACCGCCUGGGGAGUACGGUCGCAAGAUUAAAGAGCUCAAAAGGAAUUGAUGGCGAGGUUACCCUGGCGGUGGAUGAUGGAUUAGUUGAAGUACAGCGCGAAAAUACCACCAUAUGGCAUGCAGAGUCCAGUGAAGAGAUUUGGUGCUCCUGCAAGAGAACCGGAACACAGGUGCACACUGUGGCUGUCGUCAGCUCGUCAAUGAGGAUGUUGGGUUCAGGUCCCCCAACUGGCACAACGUAUUGGUUACUGCGAGGGCGCUCUAAUGAGACUGCAGAAGUGAUAAAGUGACGAAGUCAGGAUGACGUCAGUCCUCAUGGCUGGCCCCAUAUGGGUAGGCUUCUUACCGUCAUCUGUUGUGGGUGGUCGGGUUGGGGUCGCCUGGCCCGCCUGAGGCCAAUCCCAAAGCCCGAUCGUCAGUCAGGAUAUGAUCUGCUGCUCGGCUAAUGAAGUCAGGAAUCUUCGUAAUCGCGGAUCAGCAUGUCGCGGUGAAUACGUUCCCGGAAUUCAUUACCACCGCCCGUCACACCCAUGGGAGUGGGUUUUACCGGUAGUUAGCCUAACCGUAAGGGCGAUUCUACACAGUGGAUUCAUGACUGGGGUGAAGUCUUAUGAGGC